GGCCUUNGUAACGGCGAGUGAAGCGGCAAAAGCUCAAAUUUGAAAUCUGGCACCUCCGGUGUUCGAGUUGUAAUUUGGAGAGGCAUCUUCUGGAGGGGCCCAGCCUAUGUUAUGUGCCUUGGAACAGGACAUCAUANAGGGUGAGAAUCCCGUACUUGGCUGGAUGUACCCUCCUGUAUGUAGUGUCUUCUACGAAUCGAGUUGUUUGGGAAUGCAGCUCAAAAUGGGUGGUAAAUUUCAUCUCAAGCUUAAUAUUGGCGAGAGACCGAUAGCGCACAAGUAGAGUGAUCGAAAGAUGAAAAGCACUUUGAAAAUAGAGUCAAACAGUACGUGAAAUUGUUGAAAGGGAAGCGCUUAGGACCAGACUCAGCCUUUGGUGGACAUCCGCCCAUCGGGGUGGUGCACUUGUCAUUGGUUGGGCCAGCAUGGGUUGGGACGGUGGGAUAAAGGCUCGGGAAAUGUGACUCCUUUAUGGAGUGUUAUAGUCCCGGGUGGCAUGCCACCAGUCCCGACUGUGGAACGCGCAUCGGCACGGAUGCCGGGCAUAAUGGUUUUCAGCGACCCGUCUUGAAACACGGACCAAGGGAGUCAAANGUCUAUGCGAGUGUUUGGGCAUCAAACCCUCACGCGUAAUGAAAGUGAAUGGAGGUGGGAACCCUUGAAGCACGCGGAUAGGGCGNUCCAUCGACCGAUCCUGAUGUCUUCGGAUGGAUUNGAGUAGGAGCAUAGCUGUUGGGACCCGAAAGAUGGUGAACUAUGCCUGAANAGGGUGAAGCCAGAGGAAACUCUGGUGGAGGCUCGCAGCGGUUCCUGACGUGCAAAUCGAUCGUCAAAUUUGGGUANAGGGGCGAAAGACU
RNAcentral lists this ribosomal RNA (857 nucleotides) under Tuber sp. RPC-8. RNAcentral's name for it is "LSU rRNA". It matches the Rfam family "Eukaryotic large subunit ribosomal RNA", at positions 73 to 932 of the family's 3401-position model. The record is from RNAcentral. Lineage: Eukaryota; Fungi; Ascomycota; Pezizomycetes; Pezizales; Tuberaceae.